GAGGCCUUAGCUUAAUUAAAGUGCCUGAGUUGCAGUUAGGUGAUGCAGUGUAAAAGUCUGCAGGUUUU
RNAcentral lists this transfer RNA (68 nucleotides) under Lygodactylus stevensoni (Stevenson's dwarf gecko). RNAcentral's name for it is "tRNA-Ala". The record is from RNAcentral. Lineage: Eukaryota; Metazoa; Chordata; Lepidosauria; Squamata; Gekkonidae.